GGGGGUGAAACGGUUUCGACGGAGCGAGGACAGCGACGGUGGCGCGCUCGGGGUCCGGUCCCGGUAGCAAACGGAAAAACUAGAAGUGCCAACGACAACGUUGAACACGACCUCGCGCUGGCCGCUUAAUUUACUUUAAGCGCAGAGACUAAAACCAGCAGUUCGCAGGCGCAGCCCAUGGCGCUUACGGGCUAAAACAGUGGGCUAGCAAACCAAGAGCAUAGUCUUCUCUCGGAGCGCGAAAUCGACAGACUCUGUGGCAGUACGGGCUGGUGACGAGAGCCCAUGUCCACAGUACAAAUCCAGUCACUACGCGCGUAGAAGCCUCGACUCGAGGCGUUCCGGACCCGGGUUCGACUCCCGGCACCUCCACAA
Molecule: transfer-messenger RNA, 375 nt
Filed under: Myxococcales bacterium
Lineage: Bacteria; Pseudomonadati; Myxococcota; Myxococcia; Myxococcales
Also listed under: 1 other name
Rfam family: transfer-messenger RNA
About the family: Bacterial tmRNA, also known as 10Sa RNA or SsrA, is named for its dual tRNA and mRNA-like properties. Its role is to liberate the mRNA from a stalled ribosome.
Source: RNAcentral